AAGUCGAGGGGUAACAGGGAGCUUGCUCCGCUAACGACCGGCGAACGGGUGAGUAACGCGUACCCAAUCUACCUUUAACAGAAGGAUAGCCCCGGGAAACUGGGAUUAAUACUUCAUAAUAUAUAUUUAAGGCAUCUUAACUAUAUCAAAGCUCAGGCGGUUAGAGAUGAGGGUGCGUUCCAUUAGAUAGUUGGUGAGGUAACGGCUCACCAAGUCAACGAUGGAUAGCUGGUCUGAGAGGAUGAUCAGCCACAUGGGCACUGAGACACGGGCCCAACUCCUACGGGAGGCAGCAGUAAGGAAUAUUGGACAAUGGACGCAAGUCUGAUCCAGCCAUCCCGCGUGCAGGAUGACGGCCCUCUGGGUUGUAAACUGCUUUUAUUAGAGAAGAAACUCCGAGAUUUAUCUCGGUAUGACGGUACCUAAUGAAUAAGCACCGGCUAACUCCGUGCCAGCAGCCGCGGUAAUACGGAGGGUGCAAGCGUUAUCCGGAUUUACUGGGUUUAAAGGGUGCGCANGCGG
This 522-nucleotide ribosomal RNA is filed under the name uncultured bacterium. RNAcentral's name for it is "bacterial SSU rRNA". It matches the Rfam family "Bacterial small subunit ribosomal RNA", at positions 59 to 578 of the family's 1533-position model. The record is from RNAcentral.